Molecule: ribosomal RNA, 253 nt
Filed under: uncultured bacterium
Lineage: Bacteria
Description: partial 16S ribosomal RNA
Rfam family: Bacterial small subunit ribosomal RNA
Source: RNAcentral
GACGAAGGGGGCUAGCGUUGUUCGGAAUUACUGGGCGUAAAGCGCGUGUAGGCGGUUGCCAAAGUCGGGUGUGAAAGCCUUGAGCUCAACUCAAGAAAUGCACUCGAUACUUGGUGACUAGAGGACCGGAGAGGAUAGUGGAAUUCCCAGUGUAGUGGUGAAAUACGUAGAGAUUGGGAAGAACACCAGUGGCGAAGGCGGCUAUCUGGACGGUUUCUGACGCUAAGACGCGGAAGCGUGGAGAGCAAACAGG